This 468-nucleotide ribosomal RNA is filed under the name uncultured bacterium. Its description in RNAcentral is "partial 16S ribosomal RNA". It matches the Rfam family "Bacterial small subunit ribosomal RNA", at positions 28 to 507 of the family's 1533-position model. The record is from RNAcentral.
GACGAACGCUGGCGGCGUGCUUAACACAUGCAAGUCGAACGGAAAGGCCCGGCUUUUGUUGCGUGCUCGAGUGGCGAACGCGUGAGUAUCACGUGUGUAACCUGCCCUUGUCUGACGGAUAACUUCAGGAAACUCGGGCUCAUACCGGAUAUGAGCUUCUGAUGCGUGGGGUUGUUUGGUGAGAUUUGGCGGUAGUGGAUGGUCUCGCGGCUUAUCAGCUUGAUGGGGGGGUAGUGGAUGACCAAGGCUGUGAAGGGUAGGCGGCAUGAGAGGCUAGCCGGCCACAAUACGACUGAGAGACGGCCCAGACGCCUACGGGAGGCAGCAGGGGGGAAUAUGGCACAAUGGGCGGAAGCCUGAUGCAGCAACGCCGGGUGCGGGAUGACGGCCUUCGGGUUGUAAACCGCUUUCGCCGGUGACGAAGCGUGAGUGACGGUAAUGGGUAAAGAAGCAACGGCUAACUACGUG